GACGAACGCUGGCGGCGUGCUUAACACAUGCAAGUCGAGCGGUAAGGCCCUUUCGGGGUACGACGAGCGGCGAACGGGUGAGUAACACGUGGGUGACCUGCCCCUCAGCUCUGGGAUAAGCCUGGGAAACUGGGUCUAAUACUGGAUAUGACUCCACGGUGCAUGUCGUGGGUGGAAAGCCUUGUGCGGCUGAGGAUGGGCCCGCGGCCUAUCAGCUUGUUGGUGGGGUGA
RNAcentral lists this ribosomal RNA (231 nucleotides) under uncultured bacterium. RNAcentral's name for it is "partial 16S ribosomal RNA". It matches the Rfam family "Bacterial small subunit ribosomal RNA", at positions 28 to 260 of the family's 1533-position model. The record is from RNAcentral.